UAGGCGCACUACCAUUGCUGAAAAUUCAAAAAGUGCUGGGCUAGUGGGUUUUUUUCUGGGACGUUUUAUGGGGAAAUCGCUUCCUUCCCCACAUAGAAUUCAAGAUUUUGCGAGAAUAAUUAGCUCAAACAGAAUCCAGGGCCCGACUCAAGUCAAACCCGCAUCCAGAAUUAGGUCAGUUCCAUCUCCCGUGACCGCAAAGUUUAGGGCGGUUGUCGACGGCCAAUCAUCAGAGCGGCGGCUGAAGCUGAAGCAGAACAUGGAAGAAGCAAGCUCUAACUCCAAUUCCAAUACUUCCUCGUCGAACCAGCGGCGGCUACCCCUUGCCGAUGUGGUGGCUGACUGUGUCAAGCGGUGGUUCCAAGAUACUCUCAAGGAGGCUAAAGCUGGUGAUUCCAGCAUGCAGGUCCUUGUUGGUCAGAUGUAUUUUAGUGGCUAUGGUAUAUCCAGAGAUGCACAGAAGGGAAGAGCUUGGAUUAGCCGAGCUUCAAAGAGUCGGUCAUCGGCAUGGAAAAUGAGUGAUAAACGCCCAGGCUAUAAUGCCAGUGAUUCUGAUUCUGAUGAUACUGUGGGGGAGACAAAGCAAAAUUGAAGCUCUUUUCAUGGGUAAAACAAGCUAUGGCAUCGAUAUGAACUCUGCAUGUAGUAGUGUAUGACAAUGCCACUCUAUCUAGUUUCUUUGAUAUCUUCUUUAGCAGCAAGUGUAAUCCCACAAGGGAGUCUGGGAAGUGGGAAGGGUGGAGUGUACGUAGGCCUUACCCCUACUUCGUGGAGGCCUUAUCUACGUUUCUGCACCUUCAAAAUUCCUCCAUUUCUUAUUUCUUGUGGAAUCAACGGAAAAAUGCAAGAUGGAGCUACAUUCCACGUUUCUGGGAUUCAACUUUCUUGUCCAACUUGUGAGAGCUUCACCAUUGCCAUAGGUUGUACCCAUGUGUAUUCUUGUGCUAUGGCUAUGCCAGCUGCCAGUCCCUUGCAGUUUGGUAACAGACAUUCAACUGCACCUACUGUUCUACUCUCCACGAUUUUUUUUUCAUUGAAGUACGCCAAGUCCAUAGAGUUAUUUUGUCUGACUGGACUGUUAGUAAAUCACAUUAUUUAUCAUUAGUUGAUUUUCUUUGUCAUGAUGGUUUGAUCUUGUAAUUCUGACCAACUGGGCAGAAAGCUGAAAACGUGAUUAUUCUUUGUUUGGUUUGUCAA
Capsicum annuum is the source of this 1197-nucleotide RNA transcript. RefSeq lists it as uncharacterized. The record is from RefSeq and is a predicted model, not a curated record. NCBI's taxonomy places the organism in Eukaryota, Viridiplantae, Streptophyta, Magnoliopsida, Solanales, Solanaceae. The transcript is spliced from 5 exons.